RNAcentral lists this long non-coding RNA (242 nucleotides) under Elaeis guineensis (African oil palm). RNAcentral describes it as "long non-coding RNA (EGUI_LNC074369)". Lineage: Eukaryota; Viridiplantae; Streptophyta; Magnoliopsida; Arecales; Arecaceae. The record is from RNAcentral.
GACUUUUGACUCGGGCCGACAGCGAUCGAGAAUGGUCGAAGAAGGUCUCCGACCUUCAGUAACAGCUCCAGGAUGUCGAGGCGAGCUAUGAUGCGUAUCGGGCCGACUGACGCAAGCAGGUGGACGAAUACAAGGGGAGGCUCAGGAUGGCGACCGACGAGGUUGCCCACCUUCAAAGACAGCUAGCUGGAGGGGCUCAGCUUGCUCCCGCUCGGGAUUCCAGCGAACUCCAAUCCCUGAGA